CUGCACUGUCUUUGAACCUGUGGAGCCUUACUUGUGGUUUCACAGGCCAAGCUACAGUGCGAGAGAAACGCUUGUUAUAACUGGGGCUUCUUUGGCGUCUCUACCAAGCUGCUCUUUUAAAAGCAAGUUACAUCU
Small nucleolar RNA from Anguilla anguilla (European eel), 135 nucleotides. The record is from RefSeq and is a predicted model, not a curated record. Lineage: Eukaryota; Metazoa; Chordata; Actinopteri; Anguilliformes; Anguillidae.